UGACCUCGGAUCAGGUAGGAAGACCCGCUGAACUUAAGCAUAUCAAUAAGCGGAGGAAAAGAAACCAACAGGGAUUGCCCUAGUAACGGCGAGUGAAGCGGCAACAGCUCAAAUUUGAAAUCUGGCUUCGGCCCGAGUUGUAAUUUGCAGAGGAAGCUUUAGGCGCGGCACCUUCUGAGUCCCCUGGAACGGGGCGCCAUAGAGGGUGAGAGCCCCGUAUAGUUGGAUGCCUAGCCUGUGUAAAGCUCCUUCGACGAGUCGAGUAGUUUGGGAAUGCUGCUCAAAAUGGGAGGUAAAUUUCUUCUAAAGCUAAAUACCGGCCAGAGACCGAUAGCGCACAAGUAGAGUGAUCGAAAGAUGAAAAGCACUUUGAAAAGAGGGUUAAAUAGCACGUGAAAUUGUUGAAAGGGAAGCGCUUGUGACCAGACUUGCGCCGGGCGGAUCAUCCGGUGUUCUCACCGGUGCACUCCGCCCGGCUCAGGCCAGCAUCGGUUCUCGCGGGGGGAUAAAGGUCCUGGGAACGUAGCUCCUCCGGGAGUGUUAUAGCCCGGGGCGUAAUGCCCUCGCGGGGACCGAGGUUCGCGCAUCUGCAAGGAUGCUGGCGUAAUGGUCAUCAGCGAC
RNAcentral lists this ribosomal RNA (621 nucleotides) under Chaetomium globosum. RNAcentral describes it as "eukaryotic LSU rRNA". It matches the Rfam family "Eukaryotic large subunit ribosomal RNA", at positions 1 to 648 of the family's 3401-position model. Lineage: Eukaryota; Fungi; Ascomycota; Sordariomycetes; Sordariales; Chaetomiaceae. The record is from RNAcentral.